CCGAGUUUACAACUCCCAAACCCCUGUGAACAUACCACUUGUUGCCUCGGCGGAUCAGCCCGCUCCCGGUAAAACGGGACGGCCCGCCAGAGGACCCCUAAACCCUGUUUCUAUAUGUAACUUCUGAGUAAAACCAUAAAUAAAUCA
This 147-nucleotide unclassified non-coding RNA is filed under the name soil metagenome. RNAcentral describes it as "partial internal transcribed spacer 1". The record is from RNAcentral.